UUCAUGUGUGUGUGUGCGUGCCUGUGUGUGUGUGUAUGUGUGCAUGCACACACACACACACACACACACACACACACACACACACAC
This 87-nucleotide microRNA precursor is filed under the name Echinops telfairi (small Madagascar hedgehog). Its description in RNAcentral is "miRNA (ENSETEG00000023694.1)". The record is from RNAcentral. Lineage: Eukaryota; Metazoa; Chordata; Mammalia; Afrosoricida; Tenrecidae.